GGUCGGGCUAGGCUCAGCCAACGUUGGCACCGAGUGCCCGGGUCUGCUCUGCUUCCUGGUUUCCUGAUCAGGAGACAGGGGAUGCGAAGCCAGUAGACUUGGACAGAGGCUCCUGAAACACAACUCAGAGCUCUACUGGCCAAGCGACCCCUUGGACAUUCUGUGAGUGCCUCUGAUGACUCCCUCAGCUCCCCGACUUCUAGAAGCCACCUAUCGGGACCAAGUGGGCACCUCAGACCACCUAAGAGCCCAGAGGGGCCACGGCUCUGGGCAGCUGUGGAGGGAGAGAAGCUCCCAGAGUGCCUGGCCUGAGGCUCCUGGCUGAUCUGAUAAGAUGUGACAAGGCGGCCUGAAAAAUGUUGAAACCUGUAAAAUGCUGAAACCUGUUUUUUGCUGCGUUGUGAGCAUGGGGUGUUUUUUUUUUCCUCCUUCUCAAUUUCAUAGGAAAGUGGAGUUGAUCUGAGUGGAGAAGGGAGGGGGUAGGAGAGAGGGAUUGUCCCCUUCAGGCAAACCGAGGACCGUGGGGGGGUGGGGAGCACAGAGCAGG
RNAcentral lists this long non-coding RNA (547 nucleotides) under Capra hircus (goat). RNAcentral describes it as "lncRNA (ENSCHIG00000005415.1)". Lineage: Eukaryota; Metazoa; Chordata; Mammalia; Artiodactyla; Bovidae. The record is from RNAcentral.